Molecule: ribosomal RNA, 774 nt
Filed under: uncultured Neocallimastigales
Lineage: Eukaryota; Fungi; Neocallimastigomycota; Neocallimastigomycetes; Neocallimastigales
Description: partial large subunit ribosomal RNA
Rfam family: Eukaryotic large subunit ribosomal RNA
Source: RNAcentral
CAUAGCGACUAUCGUGGCAUAUCAAUAAGCGGAGGAAAAGAAACUAACUAGGAUUCCCUCAGUAACGGCGAGUGAAGCGGGAAGAGCUCAAAUUUGAAAUCUUCAAGGUUCUACCUUGACGAAUUGUAGUUUAAAGAAGUGUUUUCUGUUGGAGUUUUGGUAAAAGUUCUUUGGAAUAGGACAUCAUAGAGGGUGAGAAUCCCGUAUUUGACCAUUAUUUCCAACUUUGUGAUACACUUUCAAAGAGUCGGAUUGUUUGGGAAUGCAGUCCAAAAUGGGUGGUAAAUUUCAUCUAGAGCUAAAUACUGGCGAGAGACCGAUAGCGAACAAGUACCGUGAGGGAAAGAUGAAAAGAACUUUGAAAAGAGAGUUAAACAGUACGUGAAAUUGUCAAAAGGGAAGCGUUUGACACCAGUGUUGUUUUCUCGAGAAUCAAUUAAAAAUGGUGGGAUUUUGUGUUGUAUUGACUUUAUCAGCUUUCUGCACUUUUUUCCUGUCUUUUUUAAUGCACUUUUCGUUUAACAAGUCAACAUCAAUUUCUUUUGCUGUAAAAGAGUCAUUGGAAGGUGGCUUUCUUUUCGGAGAAAGUGUUUAUAGCCUUUGACUUCUGCAAUCGGAGAGAUUGAGGUCUGCAGCGUAGAUCCUUCGGGGUUAGAUACAUUUGUGCUAAGCUAUAGCCUUUCAUAGACAACUUGUUGACUAUGAUCAGUCAUGUAGCUUACUCGCUUAUGCUAUUUUACCUACGCUUAGGAUGUUGACGAGACUGUCGAUCUC